Ornithorhynchus anatinus (platypus) is the source of this 138-nucleotide small nucleolar RNA. The record is from RefSeq and is a predicted model, not a curated record. NCBI's taxonomy places the organism in Eukaryota, Metazoa, Chordata, Mammalia, Monotremata, Ornithorhynchidae.
AGCCUCUCAGGAUCAUACCUGGAGAGUUUCCAGUACUCUACCAGUCUCGAUUAUGGGAGGGAGAAUCGAGCAGAUGCAUAUCCAUUCCAUUCCUAGCUUGGCCAGUGGCUAGCAAGUGGAAGACAAUCUGCUACAAGU